Molecule: ribosomal RNA, 525 nt
Filed under: uncultured bacterium
Lineage: Bacteria
Description: bacterial SSU rRNA
Rfam family: Bacterial small subunit ribosomal RNA
Source: RNAcentral
AGCGGCGAACGGUCGCGUAACACGUAAGAAAAGACCCCAAGACCGGGACAACAGCGCGAAAGGGCUGCUAAUACCGGAUGUGGCCACAGGAUCGCAUGGUCUUGUGAUUAAAGCAUCGAAAGAUGGCUUGGGGAGGGGCUUGCGGCCUAUCACCUAGUUGGUGGGGUAACGGCCUACCAAGGCGACGACGGGUAGCUGGUCUGAGAGGACGGCCAGCCGGACUGGGACUGAGAUACGGCCCAAACUCCUACGGGGGGCAGCAAUUAGGAAUCUUGCGCAACGGGGGCAACCCUGACGCAGCGACGCCGCGUGGAGGAGGAAGUCCUUCGGGAUGUAAACUCCUUUUAGGUGAGAAGAAGGAUGUGACGGUAUCACCUGAAUAAGCCCCGGCUAACUACGUGCCAGCAGCCGCGGUAAUACGUAGGGGGCGAGCGUUGUCCGAAGUUACUGGGCGUAAAGCGCGCGUAGGCGGGUUGAUAAGUGAGAAGUGAAAGGCUGAGGCUCAACCUCAUGCAGGGCUUCUCA